This 492-nucleotide ribosomal RNA is filed under the name uncultured bacterium. RNAcentral's name for it is "partial 16S ribosomal RNA". It matches the Rfam family "Bacterial small subunit ribosomal RNA", at positions 29 to 507 of the family's 1533-position model. The record is from RNAcentral.
AUUGAACGCUGGCGGCAUGCUUUACACAUGCAAGUCGAGCGGUAACAGGCCUUCGGGUGCUGACGAGUGGCGAACGGGUGAGUAAUGCAUCGGAACGUACCCAGAGGUGGGGGAUAACGCAGCGAAAGCUGUGCUAAUACCGCAUGUGAUCUGAGGAUGAAAGCGGGGGACCGAGCAGCAAUGUUUGGCCUCGCGCCUUUGGAGCGGCCGAUGUCGGAUUAGCUAGUUGGUGGGGUAAAGGCCUACCAAGGCGACGAUCCGUAGCUGGUCUGAGAGGACGACCAGCCACACUGGGACUGAGACACGGCCCAGACUCCUACGGGAGGCAGCAGUGGGGAAUUUUGGACAAUGGGCGCAAGCCUGAUCCAGCAAUGCCGCGUGCGGGAAGAAGGCCUUCGGGUUGUAAACCGCUUUUGGCAGGAACGAAACGGUGUCCGCUAAUACCGGGCGCUAAUGACGGUACCUGCAGAGUAAGCACCGGCUAACUACGUG